CACCGCGAGGUGGAAUCUGAAGGAAGCCGGAGGCAAACCACCGACCUGACGAACAGGAACUGCAUCAGGCAUACGACGAUGGGUAAGUCUGCUAAACAAGAUGAAGCCCGAAGCUACACGGAAUCCGAGGUGUAAAUGCAGCAGGUACAUGGUGGGAAAGAGC
This 163-nucleotide non-coding RNA is filed under the name uncultured Duodenibacillus sp. Lineage: Bacteria; Pseudomonadati; Pseudomonadota; Betaproteobacteria; Burkholderiales; Sutterellaceae. The record is from RNAcentral.